AUGCAUCUGGCCUCGCUUAGAGGUUUGGUGGUGAUUUUACUCACUGUUUCGUGUGGUGCUGCUGAAUGUAGCUGGCCAAGUGACCUGCAACGGAGGAGACACAGGGCUUCAGAUGACAAAAUGAAGCCCAAUUCCCAGCCUUUCCUAGGACAGCACAUCAGAAUCUCCCUUGUUGUGGAUUUCAGACCUCGAGUGUACAGCUCCCCAUCUGGACUCUCGUGAAAGUCAUGGUAAACAACACACAGAGCAUCCCUUUGUCAUGGGUUCAGCUCCCUCCCUCACCGCGCCCCGCCAGCCUCUAGCAGCACAUCUGCAGUGGACAAUGAGUCUCAUUUCACAUUUUGGCUCUGAAGUAGACAUCAUCAUGGGGAAGGAAUACACGCCCCUAGGAUAAUAAACAAGGGACUGUUCAAGAACAAAUAUCAAAAUAAAGACAAAAGGAAAGAGAAGCUGUUUGUCUCUCUGUUCUUCCAGUUUUCCGGCAUUUCUUCACGGGCUUCAUGAAAAGCCCCAGUUCCAUCUACUGUAAUGUUUUCCAACUUCAAAGGCUUCUCUGGUAUAAAAUUUGCUUUCUACAGCAUGUCUGUCCUGUUGAGCUAUAUCCAAUGACCCCAGACAAAGGACAGCAGCGUACAGGGAGGACGUUGCUGCUGGGGUCACCGGCAGGGUGAGCCCAGAGUGGCCGGGCGAGGCUAGAGUGGAGUCCAAGCAGAGCCGUGGCGCCUGCUCCUGCUGUUGGAGGAGUCAGUGUUGUGGGGUGACACUUGAAAGUCAGGUGUUACAGGAUGGUUGUGGGGAGUCCAGCAACACAGAGAAGGGAGAAGAGUCAAAGCAUGCUCCCAGGGGGUCCUCCCAAAGCACUGCCUCCCAUGUGGGCAGCUCCCUUCUCCUCCCCACCCACAGGGCUUCUGGAAGGUCUCCUGUAGAGCCUACCUUUCCCUGAGUUGGUCCUUAUUCACCUGAGUCUUAGGAACUCAGAGC
RNAcentral lists this long non-coding RNA (981 nucleotides) under Callithrix jacchus (white-tufted-ear marmoset). Its description in RNAcentral is "lncRNA (ENSCJAG00000071183.1)". The record is from RNAcentral. Lineage: Eukaryota; Metazoa; Chordata; Mammalia; Primates; Cebidae.